RNAcentral lists this transfer RNA (68 nucleotides) under Dielis plumipes fossulana. Its description in RNAcentral is "tRNA-Met". The record is from RNAcentral. Lineage: Eukaryota; Metazoa; Arthropoda; Insecta; Hymenoptera; Scoliidae.
AUAUAAAUAGGCUAAUAAAUUAAGCUUUUAAACUCAUAAUUUAAAGAUGAAUAACUAUUCUUUAUAUA